AGCAGAGACAGGUGGUGCAUGGUGUCGUCAGCUCGUGUCGUGAGAUGUUGGGUUAAGUCCCGCAACGAGCGCAACCCUUACGGUUUGUUACUACGCAAGAGGACUCAAGCCGGACUGCCGUUGACAAAACGGAGGAAGGUGGGGACGACGUCAAAUCAUCAUGCCCUUUAUGUCUUGGGCUUCACACGUACUACAAUGGCAAUGAACAGAGCGAGGCAAAGCCGCGAGGCGGAGCGAAACGCUAAAAAUUGUCCCAGUUCAGAUUGCAGGCUGCAACCCGCCUGCAUGAAGUUGGAAUUGCUAGUAAUCGCGGAUCAGCAUGCCGCGGUGAAUACGUUCCCGGGCCUUGUACACACCGCCCGUCAAACCAUGAAAGUCGGUAACACCCGAAGUCAGUAGUCUAACCGCAAGGAGGGCGCUGCCGAAGGUGGGAUCGGUGAUGGGGUAAGUCGUAACAAGGUAACCUA
This 467-nucleotide ribosomal RNA is filed under the name uncultured bacterium. RNAcentral describes it as "bacterial SSU rRNA". It matches the Rfam family "Bacterial small subunit ribosomal RNA", at positions 1027 to 1503 of the family's 1533-position model. The record is from RNAcentral.